UUCGCCUACGGGGGGCAGCAGUGAGGGAUAUUGGUCAAUGGGGGAAACCCUGAACCAGCAACGCCGCGUGAGGGAAGACGGUUUUCGGAUUGUAAACCUCUGUCCUCUGUGAAGAUAAUGACGGUAGCAGAGGAGGAAGCUCCGGCUAACUACGUGCCAGCAGCCGCGGUAAUACGUAGGGAGCGAGCGUUGUCCGGAUUUACUGGGUGUAAAGGGAGCGUAGACGGCAUUGCAAGUCUGAUGUGAAAGAUUGGGGCUCAACCCCAGGCCUG
This 272-nucleotide ribosomal RNA is filed under the name uncultured bacterium. Its description in RNAcentral is "partial 16S ribosomal RNA". It matches the Rfam family "Bacterial small subunit ribosomal RNA", at positions 334 to 623 of the family's 1533-position model. The record is from RNAcentral.